RNAcentral lists this ribosomal RNA (252 nucleotides) under uncultured bacterium. RNAcentral's name for it is "partial 16S ribosomal RNA". It matches the Rfam family "Bacterial small subunit ribosomal RNA", at positions 524 to 771 of the family's 1533-position model. The record is from RNAcentral.
UACGAGAGGCCCAAACGUUAUUCGGAAUUACUGGGCUUAAAGAGUUCGUAGGCGGCGCAGAAAGUAGGGUGUGAAAGCCCUACGGCUCAACCGAGGAAUUGCGCUCUAAACUACUGUGCUUGAGGACCUAGAGGUGAGCAAGAACAGAUGGUGGAGCGGUGAAAUGCGUUGAUAUCGGGGAGGAACACCAGUGGCGAAGGCGGCUGGUCUGGGCCAGUUCUGGACGCUGAGGCGCGAAAGCGUGGGGAGCAA